Molecule: long non-coding RNA, 555 nt
Filed under: Lepisosteus oculatus (spotted gar)
Lineage: Eukaryota; Metazoa; Chordata; Actinopteri; Semionotiformes; Lepisosteidae
Description: lncRNA (ENSLOCG00000022730.1)
Source: RNAcentral
AUGAAAAGAGGAGGAGGAGAAGAAGAGAGGAAUUUGUGUGGCAUAGUUCCCUGGGUCCAGCCUGCUUGUGGUUGUGUUCUUUACAGAACUGCACUAAGGAGUCCCACCAGCUGCACGAGAACCUCACUAAUCCUGCAACUGUGUGUGGGUGAGGCCCCAACACGCCGUUCAUUCACAGUAAAGGACACAUGCACUGUCGGCAUAAGACAUAUGUUCUCCUUCGUAUUGCCUUUAACUGUUUUUUUAUUAUAUUUAAUUUGUAACAGAUGCACAGAUACCUGUGUACAUAUAAUAAUAAACUUUAUUUUUGUAUAGCACCAUUAAAAGCGGCAUCUCAAAGUGAUUUACUGAACAAAAAAAACUACAGUACUGUAUGUUCAUAUGAGUUACUGCAUUCCUUUCAUCUUAAGAAAUAUGACAAAUUAGUGUCUACAAUUUGAUCAUGUGUACUUGGUGUGUGCCCUGCAUUUAUUUAUUCAUUUAUCAAUAUAUAGAAUAUAAAUGAUCUGCUUUAUUCUGUAGAAAUUCUGUAGAAAGUGCACGAGCAGUCUGAAA